ACAAUGCGGAACUUUUUAGUUUUGCAAUUGGAUUGAGAACAAUGUACAAAUGUUAUCGAUAAACAAUUGGAGGGCAAGUCUGGUGCCAGCAGCCGCGGUAAUUCCAGCUCCAAUAGCGUAUAUUAACGUUGUUGCAGUUAAAAAGCUCGUAGUUGAAAUGUGGGAUGAUUGUUAUGAUGGAUCUAUGUAUUCGAUUAUAAUAUGAAUCCCCUCUCCAAUUUAUUAUUAUGGGUAUUAAUUUAUUUGUAAUAAGAAUUGGUCAUUUACUGUGAGAAAAUUAGAGUGUUCAAAGCAGGCAUUUGCUUGAAUAGAUUAGCAUGGAAUAAUAGUAAAAGGCUUUUAUGGUGCUUAAUUGGUUUAAUCAUAGAAGCAAGAUUAAAAGGAACAGUUGGGGGUAUUCAUAUUCAAUAGUUAGAGGUGAAAUUCUCGGAUUUAUGGAAGAUGAACAA
Molecule: ribosomal RNA, 449 nt
Filed under: Blastocystis sp. subtype 5
Lineage: Eukaryota; Bigyra; Opalinata; Blastocystidae
Description: SSU rRNA
Rfam family: Eukaryotic small subunit ribosomal RNA
Source: RNAcentral